UACGUAGGGUGCGAGCGUUGUCCGGAAUUACUGGGCGUAAAGAGCUCGUAGGUGGUUUGUCGCGUUGUCCGUGAAAACUCACAGCUUAACUGUGGGCGUGCGGGCGAUACGGGCAGACUGGAGUACUGCAGGGGAGACUGGAAUUCCUGGUGUAGCGGUGGAAUGCGCAGAUAUCAGGAGGAACACCGGUGGCGAAGGCGGGUCUCUGGGCAGUAACUGACGCUGAGGCACGAAAGCUAGGGGAGCAAACAGG
Molecule: ribosomal RNA, 253 nt
Filed under: uncultured bacterium
Lineage: Bacteria
Description: partial 16S ribosomal RNA
Rfam family: Bacterial small subunit ribosomal RNA
Source: RNAcentral